This 478-nucleotide ribosomal RNA is filed under the name uncultured bacterium. Its description in RNAcentral is "partial 16S ribosomal RNA". It matches the Rfam family "Bacterial small subunit ribosomal RNA", at positions 28 to 507 of the family's 1533-position model. The record is from RNAcentral.
GAUGAACGCUGGCGGCGUGCUUAACACAUGCAAGUCGAACGAGAAGUGGAGACGGAAACCUUCGGGCGGAAGACUUUACUUCGAGUGGCGGACGGGUGGGUAACGCGUGGGUAACCUGCCUCAUACAGGGGGAUAACAGUUGGAAACGACUGUUAAUACCGCAUAAGACCACAGCACCGCAUGGUGCGGGGGUAAAAACUCCGGUGGUAUGAGAUGGACCCGCGUUCGAUUAGCCAGUUGGCGGGGUAACGGCCCACCAAAGCGACGAUCGAUAGCCGAUCUGAGAGGAUGACCGGCCACAUUGGGACUGAGACACGGCCCAAACUCCUACGGGAGGCAGCAGUGGGGAAUAUUGCACAAUGGGGGAAACCCUGAUGCAGCGACGCCGCGUGAGUGAAGAAGUAUUUCGGUAUGUAAAGCUCUAUCAGCAGGGAAGAAAAUGACAGUACCUGAGUAAGAAGCCCCGGCUAACUACGUG